RNAcentral lists this ribosomal RNA (497 nucleotides) under uncultured bacterium. Its description in RNAcentral is "partial 16S ribosomal RNA". It matches the Rfam family "Bacterial small subunit ribosomal RNA", at positions 28 to 507 of the family's 1533-position model. The record is from RNAcentral.
GAUGAACGCUGGCGGCGUGCCUAAUACAUGCAAGUCGAGCGAACGGACGAGAAGCUUGCUUCUCUGAUGUUAGCGGCGGACGGGUGAGUAACACGUGGAUAACCUACCUAUAAGACUGGGAUAACUUCGGGAAACCGUAGCUAAUACCUGAUAAUAUUUUGAACCGCAUGGUUCAAAAGUUAAAGACGGUCUUGCUGUCACUUAUAGAUGGAUCCGCGCUGCAUUAGCUAGUUGGUAAGGUAACGGCUUACCAAGGCAACGAUGCAUAGCCGACCUGAGAGGGUGAUCGGCCACACUGGAACUGAGACACGGUCCAGACUCCUACGGGAGGCAGCAGUAGGGAAUCGUCCGCAAUGGGCGAAAGCCUGACGGAGCAAAGCCGCGUGAGUGAUGAAGGUCUUCGGAUCGUAAAACUCUGUUAUUAGGGAAGAACAUAUGUGUAAGUAACUGUGCACAUCUUGACGGUACCUAAUCAGAAAGCCACGGCUAACUACGUG